Molecule: ribosomal RNA, 529 nt
Filed under: Fusarium cf. solani IPBCC 08.571
Lineage: Eukaryota; Fungi; Ascomycota; Sordariomycetes; Hypocreales; Nectriaceae
Description: eukaryotic LSU rRNA
Rfam family: 5.8S ribosomal RNA (bases 152-305)
Source: RNAcentral
ACAUUACCGAGUGAGCGCGCUAUCUCCCUGUGAAGUACCCACCCUUUGCCCGGGGGGAAUCGACGGUGCGCUUUUUGGCCCUCCCCCGCCAGAGGAUCCAUAACCCUGUUUCUAUUUUGUUCUUUCAGAGUAAAACAAGCAAAUAAAUUAAAACUUUCAACAACGGAUCUCUUGGCUCUGGCAUCGAUGAAGAACGCAGCGAAAUGCGAUAAGUAAUGUGAAUUGCAGAAUUCAGUGAAUCAUCGAAUCUUUGAACGCACAUUGCGCCCGCCAGUAUUCUGGCGGGCAUGCCUGUUCGAGCGUCAUUACAACCCUCAGGCCCCCGGGCCUGGCGUUGGGGAUCGGCGGAGCCCUUUGUGGGCACACGCCGUCCCCCAAAUACAGUGGCGGUCCCGCCGCAGCUUCCAUCGCGUAGUAGCUAACACCUCGCGACUGGAGAGCGGCGCGGCCACGCCGUAAAACACCCAACUCUUCUGAAGUUGACCUCGAAUCAGGUAGGAAUACCCGCUGAACUUAAGCAUAUCAAUAA